RNAcentral lists this ribosomal RNA (915 nucleotides) under human gut metagenome. RNAcentral's name for it is "bacterial SSU rRNA". It matches the Rfam family "Bacterial small subunit ribosomal RNA", at positions 9 to 921 of the family's 1533-position model. The record is from RNAcentral.
GAGUUUGAUCCUGGCUCAGGAUGAACGCUGGCGGCGUGCCUAAUACAUGCAAGUCGAACGAAUCUUCUUCGGAAGAUGAGUGGCGAACGGGUGAGUAAUACAUAGGUAACCUGCCCCUGUGCGGGGGAUAACAGGAGGAAACUCCUGCUAAUACCGCAUAGCCAUGAGCACCGCAUGGAGCUCAUGCCAAAUAUCCUUUCGGGGAUAGCGCAGGGAUGGACCUAUGGCGCAUUAGCUGGUUGGCGGGGCAACGGCCCACCAAGGCAACGAUGCGUAGCCGGCCUGAGAGGGCGGACGGCCACAUUGGGACUGAGACACGGCCCAGACUCCUACGGGAGGCAGCAGUAGGGAAUUUUCGGCAAUGGGGGAAACCCUGACCGAGCAACGCCGCGUGAGCGAAGAAGGCCUUCGGGUCGUAAAGCUCUGUUGUAAAGGAAGAACGGCGCAUACAGGAAAUGGUAUGCGAGUGACGGUACUUUACCAGAAAGCCACGGCUAACUACGUGCCAGCAGCCGCGGUAAUACGUAGGUGGCGAGCGUUAUCCGGAAUCAUUGGGCGUAAAGAGGGAGCAGGCGGCCGCAAGGGUCUGUGGUGAAAGACCGAAGCUAAACUUCGGUAAGCCAUGGAAACCGGGCGGCUAGAGUGCGGAAGAGGAUCGUGGAAUUCCAUGUGUAGCGGUGAAAUGCGUAGAUAUAUGGAGGAACACCAGUGGCGAAGGCGACGGUCUGGGCCGCAACUGACGCUCAUUCCCGAAAGCGUGGGGAGCAAAUAGGAUUAGAUACCCUAGUAGUCCACGCCGUAAACGAUGGUCACUAAGUGUCGGGGGUCAAACCCCGGUGCUGCAGUCAACGCAAUAAGUGACCCGCCUGAGUAGUACGUUCGCAAGAAUGAAACUCAAAGGAAUUGACGGGGGCC